GAGGGUAUAGCUCAAGUGGUAAAGCGCAUGCUUAGUGUGCAAAAGGUCCUGGGUUCAAACCCCAGUAACUCCU
This 73-nucleotide transfer RNA is filed under the name Camelus bactrianus (Bactrian camel). It matches the Rfam family "tRNA". From Rfam's summary of the family: Transfer RNA (tRNA) molecules are approximately 80 nucleotides in length. Their secondary structure includes four short double-helical elements and three loops (D, anti-codon, and T loops). The record is from Rfam by way of RNAcentral. Lineage: Eukaryota; Metazoa; Chordata; Mammalia; Artiodactyla; Camelidae. RNAcentral also lists the same sequence under 2 other names.